CCUACGGGAGGCAGCAGUGAGGAAUAUUGGUCAAUGGACGAGAGUCUGAACCAGCCAAGUAGCGUGAAGGAUGACUGCCCUAUGGGUUGUAAACUUCUUUUAUAAAGGAAUAAAACGAGGCACGUGUGCCUUUUUGCAUGUACUUUAUGAAUAAGGCUCGGCUAACUCCGUGCCAGCAGCCGCGGUAAUACGGAGGAUCCGAGCGUUAUCCGGAUUUAUUGGGUUUAAAGGGAGCGUAGAUGGGUUGUUAAGUCAGUUGUGAAAGUUUGCGGCUCAACCGUAAAAUUGCAAUUGAUACUGGCAGUCGUGAGGACAGUUGAGGUAGGCGGAAUUCGUGGUGUAGCGGUGAAAUGCUUAGAUAUCACGAAGAACCCCGAUUGCGAAGGCAGCUUACUAAACUGUGACUGACAUUGAUGCUCGAAAGUGUGGGUAUCAAACAGGAUUAGAUACCCUGGUAGUC
Molecule: ribosomal RNA, 460 nt
Filed under: uncultured bacterium
Lineage: Bacteria
Description: partial 16S ribosomal RNA
Rfam family: Bacterial small subunit ribosomal RNA
Source: RNAcentral